Molecule: small RNA, 31 nt
Filed under: Thalassiosira antarctica
Lineage: Eukaryota; Bacillariophyta; Thalassiosirophyceae; Thalassiosirales; Thalassiosiraceae
Description: partial Mitochondrion-encoded tmRNA
Source: RNAcentral
UUCCAUUUUAAAUAAAUAAGGGAAUAAAAAU